GGGGGGAUACAUACCUUUCUUGCUCUUUUGAAACUUUUUUUAGGGAGAAUGAGAUGCUCUAUAUUUUUUUUCUUUCCUCUGAGGUGGGUAUCUUGUACCCCUAAUUCUACUGUCGGACACUUGUCCAUUUUUACCUCUCGUCUCACUUUUUCUUUUCUUUCGAGGUUCCAGGCACUUUCCCCUUUUUAUUUCCUCGUAUUCUCUUUUUUAGAGCACUCAUUUCCUGAAAUAAUAUAGCAAGUGGUAGUAACAAAGAUAACUUAAGCAUUUAUUUCACAAGGAAAAACAGAAAUAUUUUUGGCUAUUCUCUUCCGGAUUAGGAGU
Molecule: long non-coding RNA, 324 nt
Filed under: Sorghum bicolor (sorghum)
Lineage: Eukaryota; Viridiplantae; Streptophyta; Magnoliopsida; Poales; Poaceae
Description: long non-coding RNA (SBIC_LNC007105)
Source: RNAcentral